CACCGCCGCGAGCUCGGAAUGUCUGGCCCCGAGUGCUUCAGGGUCCGAGAACCUGCAGAAGUUCACACUUAAAUCCUACACGAGAGUCGUAUUUAUGAUGCAGAACUCGGUGCAGAACCCGAUGGAGUGCCCAAGGCGCUUGAGCCGUUCCUAGAAGGGGAAGGAGAGCCGCGGGCGGCACCGGGGCAGGGGACGGAAUUGGGAAGCUUGGGAGCAGGAAGAAGGCCAGAGCUACUUAGGGCCAGGCACGGUGGCUCACGCUUGUAAUCCGAGCACUUUGGGAGGCCGAGGCGGGCAGAUCACGAAGUCAGAAGAUCGAGACCAUCCUGGCUAACACGGGACCCAAGACUGGAAUGGGAAGAGCAUGAAAUUGAGCUGUCUAUCCCCCUGGAUCUCUCAUUGCCACCUGCCCAUAGGUUGGCUGCACCCCUCCACCAAAGAAAGGCCAUGACUCCUUCCUGGCAGCCCUGUCUUACAGCUACUCUCUGGUGAUCUGGGAACCACUCCCUCCCUUACCCCUUGAUGCCUAGGGCUAGUGCCAGCACCUUGUUGUUGUUAGCCUCAGAGGCACUUGCACUGUUCCUUGAUAGUUUUCCCAAAUCUUGCCCUCAUCUUUGUAAAUACUGUUUGCCGUUUAUUACACUGUCAUCAUAUUACCCAA
This 661-nucleotide non-coding RNA is filed under the name Pan troglodytes (chimpanzee). The record is from RNAcentral. Lineage: Eukaryota; Metazoa; Chordata; Mammalia; Primates; Hominidae.